GACGAACGCUGGCGGCGUGCUUAACACAUGCAAGUCGAACGGAAAGGCCCUGCUUUUGUGGGGUGCUCGAGUGGCGAACGGGUGAGUAACACGUGAGUAACCUGCCCUUGACUUUGGGAUAACUUCAGGAAACUGGGGCUAAUACCGGAUAGGAGCUCCUGCUGCAUGGUGGGGGUUGGAAAGUUUCGGCGGUUGGGGAUGGACUCGCGGCUUAUCAGCUUGUUGGUGGGGUAGUGGCUUACCAAGGCUUUGACGGGUAGCCGGCCUGAGAGGGUGACCGGCAGCAGUGGGACUGAGAUGCGGCCCAGACUCCUACGGGAGGCAGCAGUGGGGUAUAUUGCACAAUGGGCGGAAGCCUGAUGCAGCAACGCCGCGUGCGGGAUGACGGCCUUCGGGUUGUAAACCGCUUUCGCCUGUGACGAAGCGUGAAUGGCGAUAAUGGGUAAAGUAGCACCGGCUAACUACGUG
RNAcentral lists this ribosomal RNA (468 nucleotides) under uncultured bacterium. RNAcentral describes it as "partial 16S ribosomal RNA". It matches the Rfam family "Bacterial small subunit ribosomal RNA", at positions 28 to 507 of the family's 1533-position model. The record is from RNAcentral.